RNAcentral lists this ribosomal RNA (423 nucleotides) under uncultured bacterium. Its description in RNAcentral is "partial 16S ribosomal RNA". It matches the Rfam family "Bacterial small subunit ribosomal RNA", at positions 356 to 773 of the family's 1533-position model. The record is from RNAcentral.
UGGGAAUUUUGGACAAUGGGCGAAAGCCUGAUCCAGCAAUGCCGCGUGUGUGAAGAAGGCCUUCGGGUUGUAAAGCACUUUUGUCCGGAAAGAAAUCCUUGGCUCUAAUACAGUCGGGGGAUGACGUACCGGAAGAAUAAGCACCGGCUAACUACGUGCCAGCAGCCGCGGUAAUACGUAGGGUGCAAGCGUUAAUCGGAAUUACUGGCGUAAAGCGUGCGCAGGCGGUUUGCUAAGACCGUGUGAAAUCCCCGGGCUCAACCUGGGAACUGCAUUGGUGACUGGCAGGCUAGAGUAUGGCAGAGGGGGGUAGAAUUCCACGUNUAGCAGUGAAAUGCGUNGAGAUGUGGAGGAAUACCGAUGGCGAAGGCAGCCCCCUGGGCCAAAUACUGACGCUCAUGCACGAAAGCGUGGGGAGCAAAC